AGGAGAAGAGGCUGUGCCCUGACACAGGAGAGUAGGGUGGGGAAAGUCAGAGAGGGCACGGGGAGAGGGCAAGGUUACAGACGGAGGAGGCAGGACACCCAGAGAUAGAGGCGGCGGACCCGGAGUACGACCAGGCACCCAAGACUGAGUCUUGAUUCAGGGACACGGCUGGGGAUUUGGGACACCGAUCCAGGCCCCUUCUCAGGCCCGCAAAGGCAAGGAGGCGGCAAGCAGGGGACCGAGUUGUCUGCACUCAGCUCAGCAAAAUCCGGAGAGAUGCUGUGAGCAACACCCGUGAGCGGCGGCUGGGAUCCCGGGCACGAUCCACAGUCCCGGAGAGCGAGGCACCGACACGCACACGCAUAAAGCAAGUCAGGGCGCCCAGCAAGAGCGACGGGGAACAGGAACCCAGCCAGGCUCGGAGAAGAAAGUGGAGGAAUAAACAGGAUCCAUCCAAGAAAGAAAUGGGAAGGGGAAAGAGAUUGUUUCAUCUACUCCACAAGAGUCCAUCCACAUCACACUUGUAGCAGACACUCAGCCAUGUGCAAGGAUCCAAAGGAGGUCUGCUUCAUCCUGACGCUCUUUCUUCAUGUCAUAGCAUGGCAUCAUGCUGGGACCACUUGCAACCUUUGUUCAUUCCUAGCCCAGGGGAAGGAGGAGCAGUAUUUCCCAGCAUUCUCCUCAGAGGUCCAGAUUCUCUGGAACUGAACCAGCUUUAGGUCACAGGUUAUCCCUUAACCAAGCUCUGUGGCCAGGAAGACUGACCAGCUUGGCCAAGGUCUCUGGCACUGGGGAGAAGCCAGUUUCCUGCAACCACCUGGAUGUUUUGUAGGGAUCAGGGUCUGAUGGGAGGGAGGGAACAGGUGCGAGAGAGGCAGCUACCAUUAUCCCAUGCUCUCACCUUGAUACUACAUGACCUUGGGCAAGUCCCCCAACCACGACUUUAGUUUUUUUAAUGUCAAAUAAAGAAUUCGAUGAGAUGUCCCCAAACUCAUCAGUUCCCAGAACCCUUCCUCCAUGUCUAAACAGAGCUUCCCAAUCCCAGCAGAAUCUACCCUGGGAGUUCUUGGCAUUACUGCCCUUUGGCCCGUCUUUGCUUCAAAGUGUCUGCUGCAUUUUUCCUCUAAGCAGCAAUGAUAUUAUUGGCUUCCUGCAUGUGACACACUUAACCACAGCCCUUUGGGGCCCUCACUCUGGUUCAGCUACCCCAGGGGCCACUGGCUGAAGGAGUGAGGUUAAGGAUCCAGGGCCCCAAGUCCCAGGAGAGAGAGUUGUUCAUCUCAACUCAUAAAAAAUCAUGCGAGAUAAAGGUUUAAAAGCUCUGGGCAGGUUAUGGAUGCCAUAAACAGCUUAUGUGAGGUUUUUAGGAUGAAAAAUCACCUGAGAUAGAAGAGCAGGAAGGCAAGCUUCUAGGGUCACCAAGACUAUCUUCUGGCCCUGAGACAGUCGGCCAGCACCGCGAUCAUCUUCCUGGAGCCUGAUGUGGAAGAUGGAACUGAGUACUGCCUGAGACUCCGUCCCCAGCCAUAGUAACGGCAGCAAGUUUCUUUAGAAGUCUUAAAGCUCAUUCAGUCAUUCAACAUAGAUGUAUUGACCCUUGUUAGGUGCCAGGCAUCAUGCUGGGCAAAAAACAAAAGUAGAUAUGAAGAAGAUUCUCCAAGGAAUAUUUCUUUUGAAAUAUGGUUCCUACUCUUGCAUGAACUGAGAAUCAGAGCUCUAAAGAAGUUCCAUCUGAUUUGGGGGAUUCCCUCCCUAUCCCAUCCCCAAAUCUUGUUUUGUCAUCAAUUUCAAGCAAAGGGAGAGUAAAUCAACAAGUAGAUUUGAGCUCCCAGGUGCGAGCGCUAAGCUAGGGAAACCUAGGGAAGAGAGUUCUUCACCCUCACAGAGCUGUCAAACAGGUUCCCAGCAGAGCUGGGAAUAAAAACUGAAACUUUUAGUGUCAAUUGUUCACCUUCUCUAUGACUCAGUUUCCUCAUCUGUAAAAUGGGAGAUAACGAUAGGGCCUUUCUCAUAUAUUUCUUAUAAGGAUUAAAUGAGAUAACCCAUGUAAAGAUCUUUCCUAUAUAGACUGGCACAUGAUAAGUGUUUAAUAAAUGUGAGGUAUUACUCAUUUCAUAAGUAACAGUAAGGAAGCGUCAACUAUGAGUGCCAGAAGAUAUCAGAGGGAAAAAGGGGUCAGUCAGGGAAGGAUGCCUGGAGGAAGCAGCACUAAAUCUAGUCCUCCAUUUUAAUAGAAAACUCCAAGUACCCCCAAGUGCAAGGACCUCUUCUCAUUUAUCUCUGCUCUCUCCACUAUUCUGCAUAGUGCAACGGACUGAGUCAACUUUGGGCAUGGAAUGAACACCUGUCAGUGGAUCUGAGCCCAGGACUUACAAGUUUACAGAAACCAUAACCAGCAAUUUUUUAGUUGUGUGGUUUUAAGCAAGUCAUUUAACACUACUGAACCUUAAUAUUACAAUAUGUAAAAGGUGAAGAAAAAUAAUACUGCCUAUGUCCUAAGGCUGUUGGGGGUCUGGGGAUUAUAUAUAACAGAGUGCCAUAUAUUUCAUAUAAAUGUUGGCACUGGCCAGUGGCAGUGUUGAAGGAAUAUCAGCCUCAUCACAGUGACAGGAUAGUCUAUAAAGAAAUGCCUUCCCCUUCCCUCUGUCAGCAGUCCUAACAGAAAGUACGUGACAGCUAGGGCAUGGCAUGCCUUCUGAAUUUAAAUAAACUUAUUUAAAUUUA
Molecule: long non-coding RNA, 2724 nt
Organism: Manis javanica (Malayan pangolin)
Lineage: Eukaryota; Metazoa; Chordata; Mammalia; Pholidota; Manidae
Source: RefSeq, a predicted model, not a curated record